CACAUUGAAACACUAGUUCCUGUACGAUCAUCAAAGUUAAGCAUCGUCGAACCUGGACAGUACGUAGAUAGGUGACCGCUUGGGAAUACCAGGUCCUGUAA
This is a non-coding RNA of Acanthosepion pharaonis, 101 nucleotides long. The record is from the annotation of a GenBank genome assembly. Lineage: Eukaryota; Metazoa; Mollusca; Cephalopoda; Sepiida; Sepiidae.